RNAcentral lists this ribosomal RNA (465 nucleotides) under uncultured bacterium. Its description in RNAcentral is "bacterial SSU rRNA". It matches the Rfam family "Bacterial small subunit ribosomal RNA", at positions 28 to 507 of the family's 1533-position model. The record is from RNAcentral.
GAUGAACGCUAGCGGCAGGCCUAACACAUGCAAGUCGAGGGGUAGAAUUAGCUUGCUAAUUUGAGACCGGCGCACGGGUGCGUAACGCGUAUGCAAUCUACCUUGUACAGGGGGAUAGCCCAGAGAAAUUUGGAUUAAUACCCCAUGGUAUAAUUAAUUUGCAUGAAUUGAUUAUUAAAGUUCCAACGGUACAAGAUGAGCAUGCGUCCCAUUAGCUAGUUGGUGUGGUAACGGCAUACCAAGGCGACGAUGGGUAGGGGUCCUGAGAGGGAGAUCCCCCACACUGGUACUGAGACACGGACCAGACUCCUACGGGAGGCAGCAGUGGGGAAUAUUGCACAAUGGGCGAAAGCCUGAUGCAGCAACGCCGCGUGCGGGAUGACGGCCUUCGGGUUGUAAACCGCUUUCAGCAGGGACGAAGGAUUUCUGACGGUACCUGCAGAAGAAGCACCGGCUAACUACGUG